CUCAACCACUGAGCCAUAUCCCCAGCCCUAUUUUGUAUUUUAUUUAGAGACAAGGUCUCACUGAGUUGCUUAGAACCUUGCUUUUGCUGAGGCUGGCUUUGAACUCAUGAUCCUCCUGUCUCAGCCUCCUGGGAGCCACUGGGAUUACAGGCAUGCACCACUGUGCCCGGCCAAAGUAAAUUAUUCAUACAUCACUGAUUCAGGCCCUGAGUCCAGACCAGGGAAAUGUAGAGGGCAGGGCCUGUACCUUUUGACAAGAUUCAAUGAAUUCCUCAAUGGUCACCACACCAUCCUUGUUUCUGUCCAUCUUCUACAAGAAGGUGGUCGGGCAGGGAGAACAAUAGGGAUGGCAGGAGAAAGGCAUGCAGAAUUCAGGUAAGUUCCCGUGUUGGUUCCUGGUCUCCU
Molecule: long non-coding RNA, 405 nt
Filed under: Marmota monax (woodchuck)
Lineage: Eukaryota; Metazoa; Chordata; Mammalia; Rodentia; Sciuridae
Source: RNAcentral